Leguminivora glycinivorella is the source of this 436-nucleotide long non-coding RNA. RefSeq lists it as uncharacterized. Lineage: Eukaryota; Metazoa; Arthropoda; Insecta; Lepidoptera; Tortricidae. The transcript is spliced from 3 exons. The record is from RefSeq and is a predicted model, not a curated record.
UCAGGUGCAUUAGGACCUGAGGUGGUCCACAGACUAUCCUCUCAAAAUACUGGGUGGUCUGUUUCUUAAUCCAUUGCCAUGGCAUACACAUGAAGGCGUCUUCACUUCAAAGGGCAACUCAGGAGCCAAUGAACGAAAUAAAUGUCAAGUUGAAGAAAUGAGUGCUACAGGAAGAUCUACAAUGAUGAACUAUCUUUCCGCAGCUCGCAGGUGCGGCCAAGAACACUACAGGGUGACAUGGACAUCCCUGUCACAACCGUGACGGCUAGACGGACAGACAGACAGACAUACAGGGUAUAGUAUGGCUUCUACGGAUCAUCCGCAUAUCUUGGAAAAAUGAGUAAUGAGUACAAGUUGCUUAAGCGCGGGUUUAUUUCGUACCAGUGGGCAUUUUCAUAAAUUGCGACCCAAAAUGAGUGACAGUUGUUAACAAAAA